CGGGCUCCGUGACCGUCCUGGCCGCGCCCGGCGGACCUCGGGACCUGACUACCGGCUCGCUGGGAAACUGUUGGAGCCGCGUCCGAAGCACCGCCGCGCUGGGGGGGGGGGAGCGUGGGUAACGCCUGCCGACCACGCCGGCGUCUCCCCUCCCUCGGUUCAGUAGCACAGUAACCCAUAUAAUUCAACUGAGGACUGAGGAAAGGCAAGCUCAUAAUCCAAGGCAUAUCCCAGUUAAACAUCAGACGACACCCUGGCUUUCCGCACAGCAGGAGGCUUCCUUCAGAGGAGGAUUGAGAUGGACUGAACUUUACACUUGGAAUUCUGCCAGUGAAAUAGGAGAAUCUCAGUCAUUGAGCACUGGGAGUGAAAGGGAUUGUGGGGGAUGGAGUUUCCAGUGACAGGAGUGAGAGUGCCCCAUGGUCCAGACAACCACUGGUGGGGCCUUGCCUUGUGAUGCAAGGCAUCUUCAAUCAAUUAAAAAUGCUCUCUUGACAAAAAGAUUGUGGAUUGUGAACUAUCUGCCUGGCUUUCCGCCGUAAGACUCUUUUCGGUGACGGGUAUUCUUGGGUGGAUAAUACGGAUCGCGUUGUUAUUGCUUAAGAAUACGCGUAGUCGAGGAGAGUCAUUCCUGCAGCGUCGUCGACUUAAAUCCAAUGAUCUUUAAAGUGCCCACCUGCCUGAUUGCUUUAUACUGCGGCUAGUAACGCAGAGAAACUCCGAAACACACAUAGAGGUCUAUUCAUCAAACAACCUGACAUAUUACCUCUUCCUAUUUUCUGUGAUUACUGUACUGUCAAGCAGAGAGCUAGCCAUGGUAACAUCGGUCAUCAUGUUUUUUCAUAGCUCUGUAUUUCAAAGCUGAUUUUUUUCCCCUUUGAGAAUAUUGCUAUUUUUUUGCUGCACUGUUUUAUAAUUCUGUUAACCCUGCUGCCAAUGUGGUGUCAUUGAAAUGUUCUAUUUUGCUUCUCUCUGUUUGUGGUUGAGAUACACCCUCAUAUGCAUGUGUGGCAUUGUGCAUGUUAUAUAGAUCAGCUUGCUGCAAGGAAUGCCUCCAUUAUUCCUUAUCGGCUCUGCUGACUAACACAGACUUCAACCUUAUUUUAAGCAGAUCGAUUUUAAAAUUGCAUUUAUCGGCCAGCGUUCGGCUCAAAGGACACAGUUAAGCCACCAGGGCCAUGGGGCAAUAUGUUUCUUCAUGCAGUGAGUGGAUAGUGUGUUUAUACAAACAGACAUGGAGAGAAAAAGCGGGAGGUACAAUAGCUGAAACAGAGUAAUGCCACAAUUUAUUUUCACGCACCCUGUAUUAACAUGAUAAAAAGCAUGACAUACAAUGGAAUGACAAAAACACACAUGCUAGGAAGAUAGUCAGCACUUACCCAUAUUAACUACACAAAUGCUCGCACUCUCUCUGUGUCUGUCUCUCUACAUACCUCUUUACGUACACGCGCGUAUGCUCACGCACACGCAUAUUUAAAUUUGUGAAAAUCAAUAAAGAAUUUACAAUGACUUGUUUUCAUUUUGCAGUCAUGCUAUUAUUGUUCGGUCACAUCUCUCCCAGAACUACUGAAUCGCAAAAUAAUUCCUAAACCCUGUAACAGUGUUUUCUGUUGCAUAAACAAUUCUGGGUAGCCAAUUCAUGAAAUUACAUUUUUAUACAUUUACAUGUAUUUUUAUACUUUUUAAACAAAUAAUUAUUGUCAGAAUUUUCCCUGAUGGAACCAAUGUUUUGAUCAUCAUCAUAUUUCACCACUAGGGGAAUCUCUCCCACUGAUAAUCAGAGCCUGACACUGAAUUAAACAGAAUAUCAGAAUAACCAGUGUGUGUACAACACCAGACUGUUUCUGUGAAUGAACCACUACAUCAGGCCCCUGCUGAGGUAAUCUUAGUCUGAUAGUUGGAUGACCUGGAUGAUCCUCUAGUUCACUUCUGGGUCACUGUCAAAUUUCCACCCCAAAUGUAUCAUACAUCUGGUAUUUACAGCAUUGUUACAGAUGACUGUUUAUUAUUAUUUUGUUUUUUUCUGAAAACUGUGAGAUCAUUAGGCAAAGAAACUGAAGGCAGUGGUAUAUUUUAGCAGUAUGUUUUGAUGUCUAAUAUUGUAGUGUCUAUAAUAACUCAGUCUGAGAUAAUACAAAUAAUUAACAUGAAAUGUACAUGAAUAAAUGUGCACAGAAAUAUACAUUACAAUAAUAAAAAUAUGAAUGUGUAGUAUUAGUGUCAUAUUCAUUAUUUGGCAAUGAUAUUCCACAAUUGUGAACAAAAUGGUUGCCUCUAUUUUUUAUUUUUUAAAUAUAUUAUUAUUACUAUUAUUAUUAUUGUUAUGAUUACUAUUACUACAAAUUGCUCAUCUUAUAUGUUGACUUAUUUGCCACGCUAAUGCUUUUUGUUGUAAUCAUACAUAUCAGUUGUCUUCUGAAAUAAAAUAAUUCUGAAGCCAA
Long non-coding RNA from Conger conger (European conger), 2441 nucleotides. RefSeq lists it as uncharacterized. NCBI's taxonomy places the organism in Eukaryota, Metazoa, Chordata, Actinopteri, Anguilliformes, Congridae. The record is from RefSeq and is a predicted model, not a curated record. The transcript has 3 exons.